UUUUUGAUACUUUUAGAAAUAGUUUAAUUCUAUUAGGUAUAAAUUCCUUGUCAAAAAA
This 58-nucleotide transfer RNA is filed under the name Drosophila formosana. RNAcentral describes it as "tRNA-Leu". Lineage: Eukaryota; Metazoa; Arthropoda; Insecta; Diptera; Drosophilidae. The record is from RNAcentral.